GACGAACGCUGGCGGCGUGCUUAACACAUGCAAGUCAAGGGGGCCCAGCAAUGGGCAACCGGCGAACGGGUGCGUAACACGUGAGCAACCUACCGAAGUGUGGGGGAUAGCCGGCCUAAC
Molecule: ribosomal RNA, 120 nt
Filed under: uncultured bacterium
Lineage: Bacteria
Description: partial 16S ribosomal RNA
Rfam family: Bacterial small subunit ribosomal RNA
Source: RNAcentral